RNAcentral lists this unclassified non-coding RNA (698 nucleotides) under Hevea brasiliensis (rubber tree). Lineage: Eukaryota; Viridiplantae; Streptophyta; Magnoliopsida; Malpighiales; Euphorbiaceae. The record is from RNAcentral.
AGAUGGAGCUUAUGGCCAAUAGGAUGUUCUGGCUGUAUCAUAUAAAAAUUUGAUGAAACUGAAACUGAAAUAUAUCCAUUUUAUGUAGCGGUGAUGAAAAUUUGUAUUGAUCUAUAGCUUUUUCUUCUGUCUUCUGUUGUUUCUUUGAUCUUUAUGGUUGAUAUGGAGUGUUUAUUAAAUAUGGAAUCCCAUAACCAAUAAUGCAACCUUAAUUCAAAAAUAAAUUCAUCACUUUGGUUGCUUAAAGUUUAUUGGUAUUGUCCUCAUAAGUUUCCUGUUAGAAAAAUAGAUCUUCAUGUUAGAUUAACUUUUUAUCUUUUAUUGUCUUUAUAUUUGGGACAUGAUGCUUUAGAUAGUUGAGCUUAUUGAUUUGGAAUUUAAUAAUUCUCUGAAAAAUUGGGGAAGAUAGAAGAAACCCCUUGGUGCUUUGACAUGGCAAAUACAAUUGACACUUCAACAAACGCCCCACUGCAACAUACAAGGGGGAGCAGUUUAAAAGGACUUAAUUUGCUAGAGCUGCCUAUAUUUGAUUUUGAAAGCAUAUUGGUUGCAACUGAUAACUUCAACACUGCAAACAAACUUGGGCUUGGAGGUUUCAGUUCAGUUUAUAAGUUGAUUAGUCAGAUCUAUCUGACAAAAAAAGUGCAUACAUGAUUAGAUUGUUAAUUUGUGAACUUUUUACAGGGGAAACUAAAAGA